CGGGUAAGUCUUGUACGAUCUGCUCCCUUCUAACUCCCCCAGGGUAGGAAUACAGCAAGGGUACGUCGGUUGUAGCGAUGCGAUGCAAGUAGCUUACCCU
This 100-nucleotide signal recognition particle RNA is filed under the name bovine gut metagenome. RNAcentral's name for it is "Bacteroidales small SRP". It matches the Rfam family "Bacteroidales small SRP", at positions 8 to 103 of the family's 107-position model. From Rfam's summary of the family: The non-coding component of the signal recognition particle in Bacteroides The record is from RNAcentral. RNAcentral also lists the same sequence under 1 other name.